RNAcentral lists this ribosomal RNA (1178 nucleotides) under Ambohima andrefana. RNAcentral's name for it is "SSU rRNA". It matches the Rfam family "Eukaryotic small subunit ribosomal RNA", at positions 49 to 1226 of the family's 1831-position model. The record is from RNAcentral. Lineage: Eukaryota; Metazoa; Arthropoda; Arachnida; Araneae; Phyxelididae.
CCAUGCAUGUCUAAGUACAUGCCGUAUUAAGGCGAAACCGCGAAUGGCUCAUUAAAUCAGUUAUGGUUCCUUGGAUCGUACCUUACUACUUGGAUAACUGUGGCAAUUCUAGAGCUAAUACAUGCAGCAGAGCUCCGACCUUCGGGGACGAGCGCUUUUAUUAGACCAAAACCAAUCGGACCUCGCGUCCGUUUCUGGUGGUGACUCUGUAUAACUUUGGGCUGAUCGCACGGGCCUGUCCCGGCGACGUAUCUUUCAAGUGUCUGCCUUAUCAACUUUCGAUGGUAGGUUACGCGCCUACCAUGGUCGUAACGGGUAACGGGGAAUCAGGGUUCGAUUCCGGAGAGGGAGCCUGAGAAACGGCUACCACAUCCAAGGAAGGCAGCAGGCGCGCAAAUUACCCACUCCCGGAACGGGGAGGUAGUGACGAAAAAUAACAAUACGGGACUCUUUUGAGACCCCGUAAUUGGAAUGAGUACACUCUAAAUCCUUUAACGAGGAUCUAUUGGAGGGCAAGUCUAGUGCCAGCAGCCGCGGUAAUUCUAGCUCCAAUAGCGUAUAUUAAAGUUGUUGCGGUUAAAAAGCUCGUAGUUGGAUCUCAGUUCCAGACGGGUGGUCCGCCUACCGGUGGUUACUGCCUGUUCUGAACAGCCAGCCGGUUUCUCUUGAUGAUCUUCACCGGUUGUCUUGGGUGACCGGCAAGUUUACUUUGAAAAAAUUAGAGUGCUCAAAGCAGGCGUGACGCCUGAAUAAUGGUGCAUGGAAUAAUGGAAUAGGACCUCGGUUCUAUUUUGUUGGUUUUCGGAACACGAGGUAAUGAUUAAGAGGGACAGACGGGGGCAUUCGUAUUGCGACGCUAGAGGUGAAAUUCUUGGACCGUCGCAAGACGAACUACUGCGAAAGCAUUUGCCAAGAAUGUUUCCAUUAAUCAAGAACGAAAGUUAGAGGUUCGAAGGCGAUCAGAUACCGCCCUAGUUCUAACCAUAAACGAUGCCAGCCAGCGAUCCGGCUGUGUUCCUCAAAUGACACGCCGGGCAGCUUCCGGGAAACCAAAGCUUUUGGGUUCCGGGGGAAGUAUGGUUGCAAAGCUGAAACUUAAAGGAAUUGACGGAGGGGCACCACCAGGAAUGGAGCCUGCGGCUUAAUUUGACUCAACACGGGAAAACUUACCCGGCCCG